GUGGGGAAUUUUGGACAAUGGGCGCAAGCCUGAUCCAGCAAUGCCGCGUGCAGGAAGAAGGCCUUCGGGUUGUAAACUGCUUUUGUACGGAACGAAACGGUCCGGGUUAAUACCCUGGGCUAAUGACGGUACCGUAAGAAUAAGCACCGGCUAACUACGUGCCAGCAGCCGCGGUAAUACGUAGGGUGCAAGCGUUAAUCGGAAUUACUGGGCGUAACGCGUGCGCAGGCGGUUUUGUAAGACAGGCGUGAAAUCCCCGGGCUCAACCGGGGAAUUGCGCUUGUGACUGCAAGGCUGGAGUGCGGCAGAGGGGGAUGGAAUUCCGCGUGUAGCAGUGAAAUGCGUAGAUAUGCGGAGGAACACCGAUGGCGAAGGCAAUCCCCUGGGCCUGCACUGACGCUCAUGCACGAAAGCGUGGGGAGCAAACAGGAUUAGAUACCCCAGUAGUCC
RNAcentral lists this ribosomal RNA (450 nucleotides) under uncultured bacterium. RNAcentral's name for it is "partial 16S ribosomal RNA". It matches the Rfam family "Bacterial small subunit ribosomal RNA", at positions 354 to 796 of the family's 1533-position model. The record is from RNAcentral.